RNAcentral lists this unclassified non-coding RNA (1209 nucleotides) under Lucilia cuprina (Australian sheep blowfly). RNAcentral's name for it is "protein FAM151A, transcript variant X5". The record is from RNAcentral. Lineage: Eukaryota; Metazoa; Arthropoda; Insecta; Diptera; Calliphoridae.
AAACUCAAAUUUGCUGACAGGGAAGUUAUAUAUUUUCUCUUAUUUGCAAUUUCUGUAAUUUUAUUUUUUAUUUGUAUGACGUGGUUCAAACUUGGAAAUAUUUGUUGAGAAACUUUUAAUAAGUUCAGUAAUUAAAUCCAACAGUGUUUGCUUAGUGUUCAACAAUAAACAUUAAUAUACAAUGAACAGCGAAGGAACCAAGGUGAAUUUGACAGCUUUAACGUGGGCUCAUGCAGUUAAUAGUCAGCAGCAAUUAACAGAUGCUUUAAAUAGUGAUAUUGACUUUAUAGAAGCUGACGUUGUGAUGGGUAAAAUUUGCAACAAUGGGGCAGACCUACCUAUAAUGGCUCAUCCUCCAGCAAAAACUUCAAAUUUAUCGUUGGAUUCAUUUCUUUUGCAAGUAAAAAAUCACAAUGACAAUAAUAUCAAAAAUAUGAAGGGUGUUAAACUGGAUUUUAAAUCUAUAGCAGUUUUUCAAGGAGCUUUGCCAACUUUGAAAGAAAAAAUACCUGAGAUGACCUAUCCUAUUUGGCUUAAUGCCGAUAUUGUUAAAGGCCCUGUUAAUCAAACUAUGAUCACACCUGUAAAUCCAGAACAAUUUUUUGCGGGUUGUGCUCAAUUUAAAAAGGCUGUUUUAUCAAUUGGCUGGACAACUAAAUGGACAUCAACUUUCAACAAUGGCUCCUACUCACGUGAAGAGAUUAAUGAAAUGCUAAAGGCUAUAAAAAGUAGUAUCGUUACUAAGACAGGACAACAUAUAACAUUUCCUGUACGUGCUGGCAUAGCAGCAAAUAGUUUGAUUGAAUUGCAUGAUUUGGUAAAUUCUGUAAAUGACACUAAUGAAUCUCUCUUCAUUAAACAAAAGUACAAAGUAAUUAAACUUAUUGUAUUGAAGUGUUUUUGAACAUGAAACGAGUAUGGAAAACGAGUCGAGAAGCGAUUUUUAAAAACCAUGAUGUGUUUCAAAAACACGAAUGUGUGAACGUAGUAUUAUAAAAAGUUAGUGACAACUGGCAAUACCAUAAAGCAAAGAAUGCAUGAUAGUGCAUUAAAGUUACAGGAAUUUUAUUUUUCUGCUCAUGAUUUCUGGCUUGUUUAAAAAACUAGUUACGCCUGAUGUUUUAACACAGAAUUCAAAAAUUUGGCGACAUGUGUUUUGAUGCACUAAACCAUUUCCAAUUAAAGUCAAUUUUAUGAUUGUUACGACUA